GACGAACGCUGGCGGCGUGCCUAACACAUGCAAGUCGAACGGAGUUAAGACUUCGGUUUUAACUUAGUGGCGAACGGGCGAGUAACGCGUGAGAAACCUACCUUUCAGUGGGGGACAACAGUUGGAAACGACUGCUAAUACCGCAUAAUGUAGCGACGGGGCAUCCCGAUGCUACCAAAGAUUUAUUGCUGAAAGAUGGUCUCGCGUCUGAUUAGCUAGUUGGUGAGGUAACGGCUCACCAAGGCGACGAUCAGUAGCCGGUCUGAGAGGAUGAACGGCCACAUUGGGACUGAGAUACGGCCCAG
This 305-nucleotide ribosomal RNA is filed under the name uncultured bacterium. RNAcentral describes it as "bacterial SSU rRNA". It matches the Rfam family "Bacterial small subunit ribosomal RNA", at positions 28 to 334 of the family's 1533-position model. The record is from RNAcentral.